CAGCCGCCACGGUAAUACAGAGGAUGCAAGCGUUAUCCGGAAUGAUUGGGCGUAAAGCGUGCGUAGGCGGUUUCUUAAGUCUGCUGUGAAAUCCCCGGGCUCAACCUGGGAAUGGCAGUGGAUACUGGGAAGCUAGAGUGUGUCAGAGGAUGGUGGAAUUCCCGGUGUAGCGGUGAAAUGCGUAGAGAUCGGGAGGAACAUCAGUGGCGAAGGCGGCCAUCUGGGACAACACUGACGCUGAGGCACGAAAGCGUGGGGAGCAAACAGGAUUAGAUACCCCCGUAGUCCCUGUCUCUUAUAC
Molecule: ribosomal RNA, 301 nt
Filed under: uncultured bacterium
Lineage: Bacteria
Description: partial 16S ribosomal RNA
Rfam family: Bacterial small subunit ribosomal RNA
Source: RNAcentral